GACGAACGCUGGCGGCGUGCCUAAUACAUGCAAGUAGAACGCUGAAGGAGGAGCUUGCUUCUCUGGAUGAGUUGCGAACGGGUGAGUAACGCGUAGGUAACCUGCCUGGUAGCGGGGGAUAACUAUUGGAAACGAUAGCUAAUACCGCAUAACAGUAGAUAUCGCAUGAUAUCUACUUGAAAGGUGCAAUUGCAUCACUACCAGAUGGACCUGCGUUGUAUUAGCUAGUUGGUGAGGUAACGGCUCACCAAGGCGACGAUACAUAGCCGACCUGAGAGGGUGAUCGGCCACACUGGGACUGAGACACGGCCCAGACUCCUACGGGAGGCAGCAGUAGGGAAUCUUCGGCAAUAGACGGAAGUCUGACCGAGCAACGCCGCGGGAGUGAAGAAGGGUUUCGGAUCGUAAAGCCCUGUUGUAAGAGAAGAACGAGUGUGAGAGUGGAAAGUUCACUCUGUGACGGUAGCUUACCAGAAAGGGACGGCUAACUACGUG
Molecule: ribosomal RNA, 495 nt
Filed under: uncultured bacterium
Lineage: Bacteria
Description: partial 16S ribosomal RNA
Rfam family: Bacterial small subunit ribosomal RNA
Source: RNAcentral